UGGGCUUUUGACCUUGGGUGCGUUCGAAUUGUCCCUCCUAUCUCCUUUCACUAUCCACUUUACCUUAACCCCGGGGAAAACGUCAUGAGGUUAAUGACGUGGGUCUGCUGUGUUGAAACUACAAUGUUCAGAAAAUGGACUACAAAAAACGCAUCUAAAAAACUUUCCCCUGUGUCUUCUUACCGGUGAAAUAAUCCUAAUCACCACAAGGUUGGGAUUGAAAUAAAAGAAAUAUAGACUACCAGGCUACAAGUAACAAAAGUGAAACCAUCACCUUCCUGUCCACUCAGAAAUCAACAUCAACAUAAAUAUGAUUGUAUGAAAUGAAUUGUUACAUUUAUGUAAGAUAUAACCUACACAUAAUGUUUUAUACAAAUGUACAACUGCACAAAGCAUUCUUAAGUGAAUGAAACAUGUUGAAUAAAACAUCAUCUGAUAAAAAA
This is a long non-coding RNA of Labrus mixtus (cuckoo wrasse), 443 nucleotides long. RefSeq lists it as uncharacterized. The record is from RefSeq and is a predicted model, not a curated record. NCBI's taxonomy places the organism in Eukaryota, Metazoa, Chordata, Actinopteri, Labriformes, Labridae. The transcript is spliced from 2 exons.